UACGUAGGGGGCAAGCGUUGUCCGGAUUCACUGGGCGUAAAGCGCGCGCAGGCGGUGAUGUAAGUCUGAGGUGAAAACCCGAAGCUCAACUUCGGGACUGCCUUGGAUACUGCGUCACUUGAGGAUAGGAGAGGCAAGGGGAAUUCCACGUGUAGCGGUGAAAUGCGUAGAGAUGUGGAGGAACACCUGUGGCGAAGGCGCCUUGCUGGCCUAUUUCUGACGCUGAGGCGCGAAAGCGU
This 239-nucleotide ribosomal RNA is filed under the name uncultured bacterium. Its description in RNAcentral is "partial 16S ribosomal RNA". It matches the Rfam family "Bacterial small subunit ribosomal RNA", at positions 524 to 762 of the family's 1533-position model. The record is from RNAcentral.